CAAAUGAACUCGGAGACGCUGGCGAGAGCCCCGGGAAGAGUUUUCUUUUCUUUUUAACGAUUGCAUCGACCAUGGAAUCAGAUUGCCUGGAGAUAUGGUUGGCAGUGCAAGCUUUUUCGGUAAAGCACCAUAUUUUUUUGUGGUGUCCGGUGCGCUCUCGACGGCCCGUGAAAAUCCGAGGGAAAGAUUUAUUCUCACACCUGGUCGUACUCAUAACCGCAGCAGG
This 226-nucleotide ribosomal RNA is filed under the name uncultured Stichotrichia. RNAcentral's name for it is "partial Eukaryotic large subunit ribosomal RNA". It matches the Rfam family "Eukaryotic large subunit ribosomal RNA", at positions 1650 to 1863 of the family's 3401-position model. The record is from RNAcentral. Lineage: Eukaryota; Ciliophora; Spirotrichea.